UGCUAGUGAUACCUCCAGGUGUGGGA
This 26-nucleotide non-coding RNA is filed under the name Homo sapiens (human). The record is from RNAcentral. Lineage: Eukaryota; Metazoa; Chordata; Mammalia; Primates; Hominidae.